GUGGGGAAUAUUGCACAAUGGGGGGAACCCUGAUGCAGCGACGCCGCGUGGGUGAAGGAGCACCUCGGUGCGUAAAGCCCUAUCGGCAGGGAAGAAACAGACGGUACCUGACUAAGAAGCCCCGGCUAACUACGUGCCAGCAGCCGCGGUAAUACGUAGGGGGCAAGCGUUAUCCGGAUUCACUGGGUGUAAAGGGAGCGUAGACGGCGGCGCAAGUCUGGAGUGAAAGCCCGGGGCCCAACCCCGGGACUGCUCUGGAAACUGCGGCGCUGGAGUACGGGAGGGGCAGGCGGAAUUCCUGGUGUAGCGGUGAAAUGCGUAGAUAUCAGGAGGAACACCGGCGGCGAAGGCGGCCUGCUGGACCGUGACUGACGUUGAGGCUCGAGAGCGUGGGGAGCAAACAGG
Molecule: ribosomal RNA, 405 nt
Filed under: uncultured bacterium
Lineage: Bacteria
Description: bacterial SSU rRNA
Rfam family: Bacterial small subunit ribosomal RNA
Source: RNAcentral